CCUACGCGGCGCAGCAGUGGGGAAUAUUGGACAAUGGGCGAAAGCCUGAUCCAGCCAUGCCGCGUGUGUGAAGAAGGCCUUCGGGUUGUAAAGCACUUUCAGUGGGGAAGAAAGCCUUGGGGCUAAUACCCUCGAGGAAGGACAUCACCCACAGAAGAAGCACCGGCUAACUCCGUGCCAGCAGCCGCGGUAAUACGGAGGGUGCGAGCGUUAAUCGGAAUUACUGGGCGUAAAGCGCGCGUAGGCGGUCUGAUAAGCCGGUUGUGAAAGCCCCGGGCUCAACCUGGGAACGGCAUCCGGAGCUGUCAGGCUAGAGUGCAGGAGAGGAAGGUAGAAUUCCCGGUGUAGCGGUGAAAUGCGUAGAGAUCGGGAGGAAUACCAGUGGCGAAGGCGGCCUUCUGGACUGACACUGACGCUGAGGUGCGAAAGCGUGGGUAGCAAACAGGAUUAGAUACCCCGGUAGUC
RNAcentral lists this ribosomal RNA (465 nucleotides) under Vreelandella stevensii. Its description in RNAcentral is "partial 16S ribosomal RNA". It matches the Rfam family "Bacterial small subunit ribosomal RNA", at positions 338 to 795 of the family's 1533-position model. Lineage: Bacteria; Pseudomonadati; Pseudomonadota; Gammaproteobacteria; Oceanospirillales; Halomonadaceae. The record is from RNAcentral.